CAAUAGCGUAUAUUUAAGUUGUUGCAGUUAAAAAGCUCGUAGUUGGAUUUCGGUUAAGAGCGACCGGUCCGCCGUUUGGUGUGCACUGGUUGGUUUUAACUUCCUGUAGAGGACGUGCUCUGGGUUUAACGACCUGGACUCGGAGUCUACGUGGUUACUUUGAAAAAAUUAGAGUGUUCAAAGCGGGCUUACGCUUGAAUAUUUCAGCAUGGAAUAACACUAUAGGACUCCUGUCCUAUUUCGUUGGUCUCGGGACGGGAGCAAUGAUUAAGAGGAACAGUUGGGGGCAUUCGUAUUUCAUUGUCAGAGGUGAAAUUCUUGGAUUUAUGAAAGACGAACUUCUGCGAAAGCAUUUGCCAAGGAUGUUUUCAUUAA
Molecule: ribosomal RNA, 375 nt
Filed under: uncultured eukaryote
Lineage: Eukaryota
Description: partial 18S ribosomal RNA
Rfam family: Eukaryotic small subunit ribosomal RNA
Source: RNAcentral